RNAcentral lists this ribosomal RNA (344 nucleotides) under uncultured bacterium. RNAcentral's name for it is "bacterial SSU rRNA". It matches the Rfam family "Bacterial small subunit ribosomal RNA", at positions 8 to 334 of the family's 1533-position model. The record is from RNAcentral.
AGGGUUCGAUCAUGGCUCAGGAUGAACGCUGGCGGCGUGCUUAACACAUGCAAGUCGAACGAAGCACUUUUACAGAUUUCUUCGGAAUGAAGUUUUAGUGACUGAGUGGCGGACGGGUGAGUAACGCGUGGGUAACCUGCCUCACACAGGGGGAUAACAGUUGGAAACGGCUGCUAAUACCGCAUAAGCGCACAGUACCGCAUGGUACAGUGUGAAAAACUCCGGUGGUGUGAGAUGGACCCGCGUCUGAUUAGCUAGUUGGCAGGGCAACGGCCUACCAAGGCGACGAUCAGUAGCCGACCUGAGAGGGCGACCGGCCACAUUGGGACUGAGACACGGCCCAA